This 91-nucleotide microRNA precursor is filed under the name Myotis lucifugus (little brown bat). Its description in RNAcentral is "miRNA (ENSMLUG00000030306.1)". The record is from RNAcentral. Lineage: Eukaryota; Metazoa; Chordata; Mammalia; Chiroptera; Vespertilionidae.
AUAUGUGUGUGUGUGUGUGUGUGUGUGUGUGUGUGUGUGUGUGUGUAUAUACACACAUACAUAUACACAUACAUAUAUACACACAUACAUA